RNAcentral lists this unclassified non-coding RNA (207 nucleotides) under Hevea brasiliensis (rubber tree). Lineage: Eukaryota; Viridiplantae; Streptophyta; Magnoliopsida; Malpighiales; Euphorbiaceae. The record is from RNAcentral.
GCCCAAAAUGGUAGUCUUAGGGUCUCGGGAACAACUAUGCAUUCAUGAAGAAGUAAGUCAGCUGCGUGGAAAAACACAGACAAAUGCCUGCCAUGCACUUUGCAAAAAACGCAAAAAACGUUAUUGUGCCCAUUUUUCUCGAGUUGCAGAGUUCAUGAAGAUUAACCCUAGUAUCGGAGAGGAGCCUAUUGACAUAGAGGAUUUGGU